GUGAGGAAUUUUCCGCAAUGGGCGAAAGCCUGACGGAGCAAUGCCGCGUGAAGGAUGAAGGCCUAUGGGUUGUAAACUUCUUUUCUCAGAAAAGAAUUAUGACGGUAUCUGAGGAAUAAGCAUCGGCUAACUCUGUGCCAGCAGCCGCGGUAAGACAGAGGAUGCAAGCGUUAUCCGGAAUGAUUGGGCGUAAAGCGUCUGUAGGUUGUUUAAAAAGUAUUCUGUCAAAGAUUAGGGCUUAACCCUAGAUAGGCAGAAUAAACUUUUAAGCUAGAGUUUGGUAGAGGCAGAGGGAAUUCCCGGUGGAGCGGUGAAAGGCGUAGAUAUCGGGAGGAACACCAAAGGCGAAGGCACUCUGCUGGGCCAAUACUAACACUGAGAGACGAAAGCGAGGGGAGCAAAUGGGAUUAGAUACCCUAGUAGUCC
RNAcentral lists this ribosomal RNA (426 nucleotides) under uncultured bacterium. RNAcentral's name for it is "bacterial SSU rRNA". It matches the Rfam family "Bacterial small subunit ribosomal RNA", at positions 354 to 796 of the family's 1533-position model. The record is from RNAcentral.